Molecule: ribosomal RNA, 253 nt
Filed under: uncultured bacterium
Lineage: Bacteria
Description: partial 16S ribosomal RNA
Rfam family: Bacterial small subunit ribosomal RNA
Source: RNAcentral
UACGUAGGGGGCGAGCGUUGUCCGGAUUUAUUGGGCGUAAAGCGUCCGCAGGCGGUGGAGCAAGUUCGAGGUGACAGUACGCGGCUUAACCGCGCAAGGUUCUUGAAAACUGCUCGACUUGAGGGCUUCAGAGGGACCCGGAAUUCCGGGUGGAGUGGUGAAAUGCGUAGAGAUCCGGAGGAACACCAAAGGCGCAGGCAGGGUCCUGGGAAGCAUCUGACGCUCAUGGACGAAAGCUAGGGGAGCGAACGGG